GGCACCUCGGGGGAUUUAGGAUUUCUUCCUAACGAGCUCUCAGUCAGUCACCUGGGCUGUGCGUGAGUUCAUGUCUUCAGGAGCUGAGGACUACGAGGCAUCACAAAAGUGGCCACGAGAGGCAGGCGUCAACCAGCCUGUCCAGGCCACACAGCGCACAGAUACUGGGUCAGAUAUUACCCUGGUUGUUUCUUCAAGGUGUUUUUGGAAGAGACUGACAUUUCAGUAGGCAGAGUAAAGCAGAUUGCCUUCCCUAAUGUGGACCGCUGGCCUGUGCACCGGGCAAGGCCCUGCCCCCCACCACCCCCACCUGCGGGGAGCCUCAUCUGUGUGCUCCACGUUUGGGGCUGCCUGAAAGAUUCCCUGGGAGAAUCCCUCUCUGCUUGGAACCACUGACUUGGAGAGUGGUCUCAGUUACCUCUGGGCACACCAAGGCCGGGGAGCGAGCCCGUCUCACGCCGUGUGACCACCCCUUCCUAACGGUGGAAACCGGCCCUCUCCACCCAGGUCACCCGCCUCCACCUGGAGGGGUCAGGUCCUCAGGGAUCAGGUGUCUGUGAAAACAAUCCCGAGAGUCAUCCGGAAGCUCCAUUUCCAGCCAGGGUUAGGGUUCCAGAGGUCGCCCUGAGCGUGUUACGCACACGGCCUAUCAAGUACACUCCUUUCCUCGCGGCACCCCCAGGAGGUCGGGGUGUUUGCUGGGUUCCACCCGUGCCCUCACUCAUUUUCACUGUGGUCCGAUCAGCUCAGGCGGAGCCCAGCAAACACCCCGACCCCCUGGAGGUGCCACGAGGAAAGGAGUGUCCUCAGAGAGCUUCCGGGGAAGCCAGCCCUAUGAAGCCCUCCACGUUCACCAGGAGUUCAUCGCAGCUGCGGCCAGGCUGGGAAGGAGAGGUGGCCACAGGCAGGCAGCGUGUCUGUUCCGGAUGCAAAGCGCAGCCCCAGCCCCGCCCGCUGGAGCCCUCUCUGGCGCUGGGUGGACAAAGCUGCAGUGCGCCGGCCAGGGAAGGCCGAGGAGCCGCCCAGGCGAGGCCCGAGCUGCCUGGUGGCAUCUGUGUGGACCCCAGGCCAUGUCACUGCCUCAGCACACUCGACCUCCAACUCACAUUCCUCACAGGUGGCCCGGGAAAGGGGACCACCCACUCGGCAGGAGCUCCCUGAGCCAGCUCAGUGGAUGGAGCAAACUGACUUGGAAAUCAAAGUGAUGCCCAGACGGAGCAAGAGACAGCCCCGGACCAGCCCCCGGGCCACACCCGCGCACCAGCCAGGACCAGGCCCCGCGGAGGCUUGCUGGGAAGCUGGCGCUGUGUUGUUUCCCCCGCCAGCUGCUCGCUUCCUCCCGGGCUCACUGGAGUGCAAACUGCUUUCACUUGUUUGAAAUGGAAAUUUUUUCGUCU
This 1397-nucleotide long non-coding RNA is filed under the name Homo sapiens (human). RNAcentral's name for it is "HSALNT0355315". The record is from RNAcentral. Lineage: Eukaryota; Metazoa; Chordata; Mammalia; Primates; Hominidae.